Molecule: non-coding RNA, 72 nt
Organism: Mycena polygramma
Lineage: Eukaryota; Fungi; Basidiomycota; Agaricomycetes; Agaricales; Mycenaceae
Source: the annotation of a GenBank genome assembly
UCCGCCUAGCUCAACGGUUAGAGCGUCAGACUCUUAAUCUGAAGGUAGCGAGUUCGAUUCGUGCUCGGGGAA